CGCCGAACCCUCUCCCGAUAUCGCGCGUUGGAUCGCUGUUUCCUCCCCCAAAAUCGCGCGCCCUCCUCUCAAAAAAAAUCGCGCGCCCCCAUCUUUUUCCUCUCGCAAACGUCACCGCGCUUAUGCCGCCAUUCAUCGCCGAUUCCUUCGCCUCCACAUGAAGGGGUAGCCGAUUCCUCUGCCCCAAAUCCAGGUCGCCGAACCCCUGUCCCCAGCUCGUCGUCACUGAUUCCCCCUCUCACAUCACCGGGACCACCACCGCGUUUGGUCGGCGCCGAUCCCCAUCUCGAGCCGCCACUAAUCGCCGCCCAUCUCGAAGACCACAUCACCGCCUGAUCCUGCUUCCUCGCCGUCGACCUCCGCUCGUCGUUCACGGCCACACCACUGCCCACGAUCAUCUCCGAGUCACCACGCGGCGCGCAACCGUCACGUUCCAUCGCUGCCGCCCCCGUCAUCAAUUAUGCCUCCGCCAACGCCUCCAUCCGCGGCUCCACGCUCAAGUCGAUGCCGUCAACCCCACCGAUGAGGUAUUGACGUCAUCUACUCAACCGCUGCUUCACAUAUGUAAGUUGCAAACAGGUCUCUGAAAAUCCUCAUGAUCUGUUAAUUGCAUGUACAUAUGCAUUAGGCAAUAGGUUUGGUUAUGGAUAUAUAAAGCUUCAGUGAACAGUCAAGGUGGAGAUUUUGCGUCUUCAGUGAACAUGAUUUUGGAUGCUCUAUAAUUUUCUUGUAUUUUUUUUGUCAACUGAACUGUACAGAUCUAUAUAAUUCCAGCAAAUUUUCUCAAACAUGAUUCACAUGCUUCUUAUUCCUGCAAAUUUUGUUCUUCUACUUCUUUUCCUCUUGCAUAUGUCAACAUAAUGGAGUGACUAACUUUUGGGUAUUCUUGCCUUUUGAUUUGCAGACACUUCACAUAAAUCAACUGUGCAUAGACAUAUCCCAGAAGAAUGGAGUGACUAAAUAAAAUUUUGGUUGCUCCAAGCAUCUCUGAAAGAACUUGUUACCCUGUAUAGAAUUAAGUGAACAAUUUAAUUAAGUCCGAUUUGUCAUUCGAGGGUGCUUUUGAAGUAAUACGUGGUAUAUAUUAAAUUGCAUGACUUGCCUUUGAUGAAGCUAUAUCCUUAUGGUCAAAUGUCAUCUGUAACAUUUCAAAUUCAGGAUGGUAUGCAUGGGGGCGAUGAGCCUCAGAUUUCAAGUUUCCUUUUUUUUUAUCCCGUGUUUGACCUUUGAAUUGCAUCUCAGGCUUAGUAUCAUGGUUAAUCUGCCAACUUAUUCAAUAUCAUGGAAUAAAAUACAAAGAAAGAAUUUCACUCCAUAUGCUUUUGAAUCUAUCGCAGGGGUCAGAUUGUUGAGGUUCAUCUCAACAAUUCAACAAGGAUGACAUAACAGCUGUUGAAAUUUCUUGUUUCCUGCGUCCUGUCUCUGAUAUUCAGUUGCUUAUUCUGUCAUUUUUUUUUGCAGGAAUUGUCAUGUCACCUUGGUUGCUUUGCAGCUGCAAAUGGUAGAUGUCCAAAAGCAUCUGAGGGGUGGCUCAUAAUCCGGCUGCAAUAGAUUUUGAUGUUGUAUGUUUUCAUUUAACAUUGUAAAAUGAUGAAUGCCUUCUUUGUGAUGUUGAUCAGGGAUAAGAUGCCCAUGCUAUAUAUGUUUCUUUGUCAUUUGAGAUCAA
Molecule: non-coding RNA, 1666 nt
Organism: Oryza sativa Japonica Group (Japanese rice)
Lineage: Eukaryota; Viridiplantae; Streptophyta; Magnoliopsida; Poales; Poaceae
Source: RefSeq, a predicted model, not a curated record